This 435-nucleotide unclassified non-coding RNA is filed under the name uncultured Thelephoraceae. RNAcentral describes it as "sequence contains ITS2". The stretch from base 1 to 154 matches the Rfam family "5.8S ribosomal RNA". The record is from RNAcentral. Lineage: Eukaryota; Fungi; Basidiomycota; Agaricomycetes; Thelephorales; Thelephoraceae.
AACUUUCGGCAACGGAUCUCUUGGCUCUCGCAUCGAUGAAGAACGCAGCGAAAUGCGAUAAGCAAUGUGAAUUGCAGAAUUCAGUGAAUCAUCGAAUCUUUGAACGCACCUUGCGCUCCUUGGUAUUCUGAGGAGCAUGCCUGUUUGAGUGUCAUGAAAUUCUCAACUGCUUUAGCUUUUGUGGUUGAAGUAAAGUUGGAUUUGGAGGAAUAAUUGCUGGCGUAACCUUUUAAGGUUGCUUGUUAGCUCCUCUUAAAUGGAUGAACUUUCCAGUAGUGUAAAAGUAACACCAAUGUGAUAAUUAUCUACGUUGGAUGAACUUGUACAAGGAAAGAUGAAUCUGUCUUGGACCCCCUUGACGAAACAAAUGACAAAUUUGACCUCAAAUCAGGUAGGACUACCCGCUGAACUUAAGCAUAUCAAUAAGCGGAGGCU